This is a non-coding RNA of Taeniopygia guttata (zebra finch), 7278 nucleotides long. The record is from RefSeq and is a predicted model, not a curated record. NCBI's taxonomy places the organism in Eukaryota, Metazoa, Chordata, Aves, Passeriformes, Estrildidae.
AUUUGUUUGGUUGUUCGUUUUUUUUUUAGCUAGAAGACCCUUCCUUCUUCAGUCUGGGCUGCACUGCAUGAGCCUGCACCCACCACCCAUUCUCUCCUGCCCCAGGCACUGCUCCAGCUCUUCCAUCCUGUGGAUGCCAGAAUCGCUGCUGGGAUGUGAGCAGAAAGGCAGGAGGAGAGGAGGUGGCACAAACAGCCCUUUCUGCUGGCCACCACUUGGCUUCAUCCCCAGCACUGCUUGGGUGGGCUCCCAGGGGAGCCUGCCCUGGUUGCCCCCCCCCCCAAACAUGGGGUUGUGCCAGUGCUGCUCUGGAGUGUUCACUGGAGGAACAGCUCCCUGCUUUCCUUCCACCCACAUCCACCUCCUCAGAGGAGGAUCCACUUCUUCACGCUAGUGCCUGGCCCCCUGUCAAGAGCUCCUGCAGGCAGCCAGGAGCUGCUCCUAAUGGGCUGCCGGGGGAUUUGGGAUCUGACAGCUGGGUGCUGACAGCUCCCUGCAACUGCUCACUCCAGCUGCUGGGCCCUCCUCUCCCUGGUCAGAUGGAGAAGGAUGCUCUGACAUCCACAGGGAGGAGGCUGGCUCCUUUUUCUCCCUUCACUGGGUGUUUGUGAUGGUGCUGGAGGGUUGUGGUACCCACUGCCUUGGUGGGGCUGUAAAGCCUUGGGGGACAAUGAUGGUACAGACAGAGGGAUCCCAGGCCGGAGGAGCUCUUGCAGGGUGAUGCUCCCAGAUGGGCACUGUGAGAGCAGAGGAGGUCUGGGUGUAGCACAGAACAAGUCUUGUUGCAGCUCCCAGCAGGGAGUUGGGAUGGGAGGCCCUUGUUAGCUGGGAGCAAGCGCUGACACCUCCAGGGGCUCCCUCUGCAGUGGCUCUGGGGCCUCCCAAGCUUUCUCCUGGCUGACACAUUGCCUCUCUUCUCUGUUUGAUGCAGGGCUCCUGUGCCUCCCCACAGACCCCACACGGGGGCUGGUGGGAAUCCUGGGGGCUCCCUGGGGUCCGGCUCCAUCCCAGCGGGGCCGUGGCAGCCCAGGCAGAGGGACUGUCCCAUCGUCCUCCAGCAUGGAGCAUCUCCCAGCCUGCCGUCUUGUAUGGCUUUUUAUUCCUAUGUGAUUAUACAUCCCACUUCAUAUAGGGAUUGAAGCCGUGCAGUACGCCGGGGUCCUACGGCAGAGAGAGCCCCUGUGCCACGGGAGCUGGCCUCGGAGGAGCCACCAGAGCUGUCCCCAGGGUGCUGGAGGAGGAUUGCUGGCCUCAGCCUGGACUCCGUCCUGCAUCCCAGGCUCCCCAGCCCUCUUGGGAUGCAGGUGAGGGGUGCCAAGCUGCUUUGGGGUGAGGCCAGCACAAGCCCACUUCUUGCAUGGCACCCCCUUGCAUGGGUGGGCCUGGUUCUGCACCACAUCUGCCGUGGAGAGCCCCAGUGACUGCACUGGUGGGCUCAUCCCUGGGGAAUCUCCUGCUUUGGCUUUGUCCCCGACUGUCCUGGGAUAUGCAGCAUUUAUGUGCAGACACUGACAGCAGCACAGGGGAGGAGGAAGAGGAAGAGGAGGAAAAAGAUGCUGAGGAAUGGCCAUGACAGCAAGGGCUGCCCCAGGCACGAUGCUCUUCAAGGUUUCUCAAGAGGCCUCAGCCACUCUUUCAAGGCACAGGCACCCCAGAACCAGGGGGGCACAGAGCUGCUCCCAGCACAGCCCACACACUGGGGGUGCUCAGUGGGACUGCAGCCACACUCUGGCGUCUUCAUUUGCACAGCUUUACUCCCACGAGGCCAAUAUCCCAUCCAGGACAGCAUGGACAAGCUGCAGAGCCCUGCUCAGCUCUGGUGACUCACUUGAGUUCACAAUGGGAAAGUCAUUGCUCCUGCCAAGCCCUGCCAGCCCAGAGGCAAAUCAUUACCAGGCAGGUAAGCAAUGUUCUCAUGUCUUAAGAUUUGUGUAAUCUCACAAAUCCUGCUAAACCUUGCCAGUGUGACCCAAAGGUAUGUUGGCUCAUGCAUGGGGCCUUUUGACCUUUUGUGAAGGGACUGCAGGUCAGAGGGAGCUGGUCUUGGGCUGGAGUGAUAGCAGACGAUUCCCUGCUGAGCACUGUCCCGAGGAAUAAGAUGAUGCUUUGUCUGUAAGGGCUGAGCACACUCCAGUGCUCAUUUUGUCCCUCAGUAGAAGUUGCACAAGGUCCACCAAAGCAAGCCCUUGGAAAUGGAGCUUUGAGUUAUCCAGGUAGAAGCAACAUAGAAGUAUUUCUGUAGCCUGGGUGUUCUUGCUGAACCUCCCGUGGGCUGUUAUCUCCUCAUUAGGAAAGAAAGGACAAGAACAAAAAUCCAUAUAUGGCCGCUAAGCAAAGGUAGAUGGGAAAUGCACUUCAAACAGCUCCAUCCUUUCAACAAACCUUUUAUUAGACUUCUCUCCUCCCAACACAUACUUUUUAAUCAUUAUGAAAAGCCACCAUUCAGGAAGCAAGAACACUGCUCGGGCUACCUGGAGUAGGCAUUUCCCAGGAGAAGCCAGCCUGCACUAGCCCACAUUCUUCUGGAAUUGACUGGGCGGCAGCACAAGCAGCAGCUCGAAGUUCAGGGUGGUGCUCAGCAAAGUGGCAGAGCUGUGGGCAGGGGGUUGUGGUGGCCCUGUGGCAGUGUGCCCAGGCUGGCACACAGGACCCUGCUGCAGUGACCCUUGUGCCAGGCAGCUCAGCCUGAAAGCGGAGUCACUCUGCAUUCCCCUGGAGCGGAAUGGCCCCGGGAGCAGCGGGCAGGCUCUGGAGCCAGCUUUACCCUUCUGUCCUGGCUGCAGCCCACACUUGUGGCUGUAUCACUGCCGUGUUAGUGCCCCGUGGAGUGCCCUGCUGGGCACGGAGCAGGCGACCUGCCAGCGGCCUCUGGAGAGAAACACACGGCACAAAGUGGCUUCUGCUGCACAACCACCCCCUGACAUUACAGGGGCACAGCGAGCUCUAUAACGCUUGGCAGAUUUUCCCCAGCAGAUCUCAGAGCUGUUUGCCACUGUGAGCAAGUUCAGGCAUGUUACAAAAGACCUUCAGACUCUGAGGACAAAUGAGAUGCGUGGAUAGGUUUAAACCACUGGGCAAGACUGGGGUUUUGAAAUUCCCAGGGCUGUGCCUUAUUCUGAGCCUGGGCUGUAGCCCAGACAGUCCAGCUGCCAGCCUGGCAUUGACACCAGGCCCCACGAUGUUCCUGCUGAUAUCCCCACUUGUUAGAUACUGGCUUCAAAACCAAAAUAGGAGGUUUUGCAUCCUCCUCAAAACCCCACCCUCUGAUGCACCUUGAAGUGGGGCGCAGAACGACUGACUGUUCAGUGAGACACCACAGGGUGUUGGCACAACGGUGUAUUUAUGUCACGAGAUGAGAUCAGCCACACGGAGUAGGUCGGUCUGUCUGGAAAGAGUCUGAGUCAAGCGUGUCCUAUUACAUUAGAGCUGGAUUUUCAAAGGAGCUCAGCUCCCACUUAGGCUCUGUAACAAACAGACAGAUAUUCAAAAGGAGUUGGAUGUGCUGGGUCAUACUGGCUGCUGAGCUAAAGCCCUUUGAAUAUCCAGCCAAACCGUCAGUGUGCCUGUUGCUGCAGGCAAAGCCCUCCUGAAAUCUAGCCCCACUCUGAGCUCCAUGUCCUGGGAAACCAAGCUCAUCUCUGCUCUCCCACAUAUCACACUGCAGCAGGUGACAAAAAUGUGAUUACUACAGUGUCCUCGUGCAUGUGGGGAGAGCAGCUCCCUGUCAGAGCACAGCUCUGGCAGAUUUGCCCUUUGAUCAGCUCAGCAUUGUGGGUCAGGAGAGCUGAGCAUGAAGGUUUCCUUGUCUUUUGUUCUGUGGAAUUAGCAGAGUUAAUCAGAAUGACAGCAACUUCUGCCUCAGUGCAGAGGAAAGGUCAGUGGCUCAGGCUGGAUGCACGACAGUUUUCUAGACAGUUGGAAAACAACACCAUGAAAGCUCAUAGCAUGCUUGCUGCUGGCACGGAGGUCAACAGGGACCAGCGGGGAAGAUGUUACUGUGGAGGGAAGGGGGCUGGAAGAAGACUCCACACAGCUGGCUUGUCACUGCAUUUCAUUCAUCCCCAUCCUAACACUGUAUAGUGAAGGUAUGUCAUCCUCUUUAUCACUGUGCACUGCUUGUGCCACCCAGCCAGUAUCACUCUGCCAAUGUGCUUCUUAGCCAUGCUCCUGGGUGUUCAUCCUGCUGGGCUUGGGGUCUCUGUUACCUCACUACGCUGCUGUGGGAAGAACUGUAGGGCACUGUGCUGGCAUGUGGAGCGGGUGCUGGGUGUCCUGCUCCCACCACAUCCCCCAGCAGCUCCAUGCUUCAGGUGAGCAGGCCUUGCUGUUACUGCUUUUACACCCUUCAGUUGCUGUAAUAGGCUCCAGUGGACCCCUAAAACUCCACUGCUGAGCUGCUCUUGAGCUCUGGGGGCACUGGAAGUGCAACAGUGCAGCAAGGGCUCUCCAUGGUAGCCCUGCCAUGGCCUCAACUUCCCCUCAUCUCUUAAAUUAACUAUAGUUGAAGCAGUCACAAGCUUUAAAUCCAGUUUCCUUAUCUGUAAUAUGACCUCUUACCUUCCUCUGAUCCUCCCAAUUACAAGUCUUGUUUUUGCCGUGGAUGUCCACUCAUGUGUCUAAUUAGUGGAUUCUUUCUGUCAAAGACACUAGCAGCCUCAACAGUGAGAUCUAAUUUAAGUAGUUUGCAUUUGUCCACAGCAUUGGUGCUUUAAUUUACUCCUGCUCCUAAUUAAGUGUAUUUGGGUAUCUGCAGAGGGAGCUCUCAUGAUCUCUCCAUGGCUCUAAUUAAAAUGGCCUGGAUGUCCAUGACAUUGGUGCCUGUCAAGCCUGUCACCAGGAGGUGAUGCCCACCUUGGAACUGGCUGAAGAACGUGUAGGAGUCAUUGUUCCUGAGAAAGGCCUCCACAUCCAAACCCUCCUGAAGUGCCUCAGCCACCAGCCCUGGGCUGCAGAAGGCUCCUGCUGCCUCUGUUGGCCCGUCCUGCCCAUCUGUUCCCCCACUGAGGAAGAGGAUCUCACACCUCCCCUGGGGGCUGCUGGCUCCUGUGCCCUGAGCCUUGUGCAGCCCCAGCCCCACACGCAGAGCCAGCUCCUGGUUUCUCCCUCCCUUGCCGAUUCCUUGGAGCUGGACUGUGGUUUCUCCACCAGCCAGGAUGCAGACUGGUCUGUCGGGCCCUAAUCCUCGCAGUGCCUGUAGAAACUCAUCCAGGUGCAAACCUGGGAUCUGUAGCUCUGCUGCCAGCUGCAGGAGAUUCCCUCUCAGCUCGUCACCCAGGGGCCCUUCUCCGCGGCUGGUGAAGCCCAGGCAGACCAGCUGGAUCAGCUGGCAGUACAGUGUGGCAACACGGCCAACUUCUCCAUGGACUGCUGCACUCAGGACCAGAGCAGCAUAGCCCAGGCCCUCAGCCUGGCGCCUGGCCUCUUCCAAAGCCAGCGUGUUGGACCCAAGGAUGAUGUUGGAAACAUGGGAGUAGUUUUCCGGAGCAGUGGGCUUGGUGGGAGAGCUGGAGAGGACCAUUUCCACUGACUUGGGCAGGUUGUGCAGCAGGUUGUAUUUGGUGAGUAUGUGAAGGCAGUCUUGGACGCUGUGGGAGCUGGCAGCAGUGGGCCCACUCGCUAUGAUGUCCAGGGGGUCACCUAUCACGUCAGACAGAAUGAGACUCACCACCUAUGGAAAGAAAUGCCCACAGAUUAUUGCAGGAGGCAAAGACAGCUGACCUCAAAAGAGCCCUGGCAUGAGCACUGCUCUGAGUGCCAUCCCCACAUCAAAGCAGAUGGAAGCAGGGUAGGUCUUCGCCCAUUUUUGUUUUAUGGACCUGUGAGUGUCACCUUGCCCUUCUCAAACCCACAGAUUUACAGUCCCCUUUGAAGCUGGACUAUUGUGUUGGAAGAUGUAACCUGUGACACUGCACUUGUCAGGCCCAACCUAGUGUGGGUUCAGCAAUGGCACAUGCUGAGAACAGCCCCCAGGAGAGCCAAGGGUCAAAGCCAGCCUUGAAAGCACUGUGCUGAAGCACCAACACUUGGAAGUGUCUGCUGGGUGUGGGCUGAGGUAUGCAGAGUGGCAUGAUGGGAUGGCUGAUGUUUCCCAAGUCUGAAUUCCCACCCUCCCAGCUCUGUCUCCCUGAGAGUUUAAGUCCAAAGUCAAAUCUCAGCUGGAGAGUCCCAAAACAGUGUGCAAAGUUGUUCACUCAAUAUGGACAAAAACCUGGCAAGUUGAUUAAACCUCUGUUUUGAGGACAGAAGGGUGAUCUCUGGGCAAACAGGGGCUUUCCCUUGGUUACCUGUGCAGGAUGUGCCAGCUGGGCCAGCCCUCCACCCUUCAGCACAGACAGAGUCUUCCGGACAAUGUUCAGCUCCUGUAUGGCAGCUCCUCGGGAAGCCAACAUCUUUGUGAGUUUCUCCUUUUCCUCGAGGAGGAUGGGAGGGAUGGGAGCAGGCAGUAGGGCUGAUCCACCCCCUAGGAUGCAGAAGAGAUGGCAAGGACAUCAGGAUAGCAGGAAAAGGAGGACAAAGGAGAGCAAGGCCUUAGCCUUUUCUUUUCACUCACCAGUGUCUGGAGGGAAGGCAGAGGUGACUGGGACCUAAGCUAACAUCUCUGGAGAAUUCAGUCAUCUUCAACAGUGGGUUUUAAUCACUUCUGUCCUGCACUCUGCAGUGAGCUACACUUCACCCAGGUAGGGUGAGCCUGGCUGGAUGGGGGCACCACAAGCCUGCAGUGUGGUGGGGAUGACAGAAGAGGGACAGCAAUUACCCUCACUUCUGCACUGGGCUACAGCUGGGUCCUCACUCUGAUAUUCAAGGGUUACCUGGGUGGCUGAGCAGGGAGCACGGCCUCCAAGGCUCACACAGCAGCCAGUGCUGUGCACAUGGGGACACUGCCUGCUUUGGUGGCUCCAUUUAUUCAGGACAGUGUGCAAAAACACUGGCUAGGGAUGCAGCAAGAUUGGAAACUGCUGAACUGCACUCAUCUGAGCCUGCAAAGAAAGAAAAGUGGGGACAGUAAUGCAAAGGACAAAGCACACUCUGAGUCCAGGGUGAUAGCUUCACUGAUGGGAAUUCUGUCUGAUACAAGCAGGCAUUGGAAAUGAGGAAAAGAAACCAAGGUUCCAAUGGAAAAGUGGAAUGGAUGGAAAAUACAGAGGAGAAAAGAGCAAGGUCUGUGCAAGAGUGAAUGUGCACAGAAGUACAGCUGAAUGCUACUGUCACAAUGCAAAGCCUGCUCAGAGGUUUGAGACAAAUCAGCAUCAAUAAAACAUGAUGAGCAAGAAAAACAAA